CCCUUAGAUGUUCUGGGCUGCACGCGCGCUACACUGAAGCUAUCAACACGUUUUCCCUCCCUGAGAAGGGCGGGUAACCUUUUGAAUCAGCUUCGUGGUAGGGAUCGGGGCUUGCAAUUGUUCCCCGUGAACCAGGAAUUCCUAGUAGACGCGAGUCAUAAGCUCGCAUCGAUUAAGUCCCUGCCCUUUGUACACACCGCCCGUCGCCACUACCGAUUGAACGUUUUAGUGAGGCAUUUGGACCGACGCAUCUCAGUUUAACCGCUGGUUUGUGUUGGAAAGACUUCCAAACUUGAGCGUUUAGAGGAAGUAAAAGUCGUAACA
This 324-nucleotide ribosomal RNA is filed under the name uncultured eukaryote. RNAcentral describes it as "partial 18S ribosomal RNA". It matches the Rfam family "Eukaryotic small subunit ribosomal RNA", at positions 1470 to 1796 of the family's 1831-position model. The record is from RNAcentral.